GAGCGGCNGNGCGGGGGCAACCCUGGNGGCGAGCGGCGAACGGGUGAGGAAUACAUCGGAACGUGCCCGAGAGUGGGGGAUAACGCCGCGAAAGCGGCGCUAAUACCGCAUAUUCUCCGAGGAGGAGAGUGGGGGACCCUGAAGGAAACUGAGGGGCCUCACGCUCACGGAGCGGCCGAUGUCGGAUUAGCUAGUUGGUGGGGUAAAGGCUUACCAAGGCGACGAUCCGUAGCUGGUCUGAGAGGAUGAUCAGCCACACUGGGACUGAGACACGGCCCAGACUCCUACGGGAGGCAGCAGUGGGGAAUUUUGGACAAUGGGGGCAACCCUGAUCCAGCCAUGCCGCGUGCGGGAAGAAGGCCUUCGGGUUGUAAACCGCUUUUAGCCGGGAAGAAAAGGCAACUCUUAAUACGGGUUGUUCUUGACGGUACCGGCGGAAUAAGCACCGGCUAACUACGUGCCAGCAGCCGCGGUAAUACGUAGGGUGCGAGCGUUAAUCGGAAUUACUGGGCGUAAAGCGUGCGCAGGCGGUUCGUUAAGUUCGAUGUGAAAGCCCCGGGCUCAACCUGGG
RNAcentral lists this ribosomal RNA (571 nucleotides) under uncultured soil bacterium. RNAcentral's name for it is "bacterial SSU rRNA". It matches the Rfam family "Bacterial small subunit ribosomal RNA", at positions 64 to 618 of the family's 1533-position model. The record is from RNAcentral.